Non-coding RNA from Acanthosepion pharaonis, 114 nucleotides. NCBI's taxonomy places the organism in Eukaryota, Metazoa, Mollusca, Cephalopoda, Sepiida, Sepiidae. The record is from the annotation of a GenBank genome assembly.
UUACGGUCACAUCUUGUUGAAACACUGGUUCUCGUAUGAACACCGAACUUAAGCAACGUCGAACCUGGUCAUUACCUAGAUGGGUGACCGCUUUGAAAUACCAGGUGCUGUAAG